CCUACGGGAGGCAGCAGUGAGGAAUAUUGGUCAAUGGGCGUAAGCCUGAACCAGCCAAGUCGCGUGAGGGAUGAAGGUUCUAUGGUUCGUAAACCUCUUUUAUAGGGGAAUAAAGUGUGGGACGUGUCUUGUUUUGUAUGUACCUUAUGAAUAAGGAUCGGCUAACUCCGUGCCAGCAGCCGCGGUAAUACGGAGGAUCCGAGCGUUAUCCGGAUUUAUUGGGUUUAAAGGGUGCGUAGGCGGUUUUUUAAGUCAGCGGUGAAAGUCUGUGGCUCAACCAUAGAAUUGCCGUUGAAACUGGGAGGCUUGAGUGUGUUUGAGGCAGGCGGAAUGCGUGGUGUAGCGGUGAAAUGCUUAGAUAUCACGCAGAACCCCGAUUGCGAAGGCAGCUUGCUAAGCCAUGACUGACGCUGAGGCACGAAAGCGUCGGGAUCAAACAGGAUUAGAUACCCUUGUAGUC
This 460-nucleotide ribosomal RNA is filed under the name uncultured bacterium. Its description in RNAcentral is "partial 16S ribosomal RNA". It matches the Rfam family "Bacterial small subunit ribosomal RNA", at positions 338 to 795 of the family's 1533-position model. The record is from RNAcentral.